CCUACGGGAGGCAGCAGUGGGGAAUAUUGCACAAUGGGCGAAAGCCUGAUGCAGCAACGCCGCGUGAGCGAUGAAGGCCUUCUGGUCGUAAAGCUCUGUCCUCAAGGAAGAUAAUGACGGUACUUGAGGAGUAAGCCCCGGCUAACUACGUGCCAGCAGCCGCUGUAAUACGUAGGGGGCUAGCGUUAACCGGAAUUACUGGGGGUAAGGGGUGCGUAGGUGGUUUCUUAGGUCAGAGGUGAAAGGCUACGGCUCAACCGUAGUAAGCCUUUGAAACUGGGGAACUUGAGUGCAGGAGAGGAGAGUGGAAUUCCUGGUGUAGCGGUGAAAUGCGUAGAUAUUAGGAGGAACACCAGUUGCGAAGGCGGCUUACCAAACUAUAUCUGACGUUGAGGCACGAAAGCGUGGGUAGCAAACAGGAUUAGAUACCCCUGUAGC
This 438-nucleotide ribosomal RNA is filed under the name uncultured bacterium. Its description in RNAcentral is "partial 16S ribosomal RNA". It matches the Rfam family "Bacterial small subunit ribosomal RNA", at positions 338 to 794 of the family's 1533-position model. The record is from RNAcentral.